This 236-nucleotide long non-coding RNA is filed under the name Elaeis guineensis (African oil palm). Its description in RNAcentral is "long non-coding RNA (EGUI_LNC059443)". The record is from RNAcentral. Lineage: Eukaryota; Viridiplantae; Streptophyta; Magnoliopsida; Arecales; Arecaceae.
AAAGCUGUAACAAAUAAGAAAAAAAUUAGGUCAUGGAGAUGGGAGAAGUUGGAAUUAUCAUGGAAGCUGGGAUGUCUGGAUCAUGUUAAGAAGUUCUAUUCUGAUUGGGAAACCCAAAAUCCUUAAGAAUCCAAAUUAAAAUCAGUCUCUAACUCUUCCAUAGUGAUCUAUUUAAAGGCCCUCAAACCCUUUGAUUUGUCUCACCGAAAGAUCACGAGUUCAGUGCCCUUUUCCCC